UACGAAGGGGGCUAGCGUUGUUCGGAAUCACUGGGCGUAAAGCGCAUGCAGGCGGAUUGCUAAGUCGGGGGUGAAAUCCCGAGGCUCAACCUCGGAACUGCCUUCGAUACUGGCAAUCUUGAGUCCGGGAGAGGUGAGUGGAACUGCGAGUGUAGAGGUGAAAUUCGUAGAUAUUCGCAAGAACACCAGUGGCGAAGGCGGCUCACUGGCCCGGUACUGACGCUGAGGUGCGAAAGCGUGGGGAGCAAACAGG
This 253-nucleotide ribosomal RNA is filed under the name uncultured bacterium. RNAcentral's name for it is "partial 16S ribosomal RNA". It matches the Rfam family "Bacterial small subunit ribosomal RNA", at positions 524 to 776 of the family's 1533-position model. The record is from RNAcentral.